AAAGAAAGCAGGAAACUGUGACUAAAUGAAGAUCACAGAGCCAGUUGAUCAGUGGGGAAGCUGCAUCUGAAAUCCAGGACUUCUAGAUCCUGGGUCAACUGGAGGGGUCAUGCAUUCUGGAAAAUAAUGCAGAGUGGUACAGGCUGAAGCGGAGCGGAGAGGACACUGUUUCAAGAUUCCUGCGCCAGCUCCUUCGUUGUUAUAGAAGUUGGACUAAAUAAAAGGGUAAUCACAAGCGUACAGAUAACAGGCAGGCAGGAAUGUGAAAAUCAGAGAGAAGAGAGAUGUGCACCAGAAGCUGGAGUAAUGUGCUUUGAAGAUGGAGGAAGGGACCAUAAAUCAAGGAAUGCAGACAGCCUGUAGAAGCUGGGAAAGGCAAGGAUGUGGAUUCACUCGAGUCUCUAGAAGAAACGCAACCCCGCCAACACCUUGAUUUGAGGACGUCUGACCUUCAGAAUGAGAAAAUGAUACAUUUGUGUUGUAAGCCACCCAGUUUGUGAAAUAUGUAUCAACAAUUGAAAACUAGUACAUAGUCAAAUACUCAAUCUCUGUUUUUUUUAGCUUAUCAUUUUCAAUCUCUGUCUCCAACCCACAAACCACAUGCAUCAUAAAUAAAUUAAAAUACCAAAACUUU
Molecule: long non-coding RNA, 634 nt
Filed under: Homo sapiens (human)
Lineage: Eukaryota; Metazoa; Chordata; Mammalia; Primates; Hominidae
Description: PREDICTED lncRNA (TCONS_00259525)
Source: RNAcentral